GUGCUCACUUUGGCAGCACAUAUACUAAAAUGGGAACGAUACAGAGAAGAUUAGCAUGACCCCUGCACAAGGAUGACACAUAAAUUCAUGAAGCAUUCCAUAUUUAA
This 107-nucleotide small nuclear RNA is filed under the name Rhinopithecus roxellana (golden snub-nosed monkey). Lineage: Eukaryota; Metazoa; Chordata; Mammalia; Primates; Cercopithecidae. The record is from RNAcentral.